Vicia faba (fava bean) is the source of this 330-nucleotide non-coding RNA. Lineage: Eukaryota; Viridiplantae; Streptophyta; Magnoliopsida; Fabales; Fabaceae. The record is from the annotation of a GenBank genome assembly.
AUGUGUUGUGAUUGUUUAACUUCUAACAUAAAAAUAAUGAUUUCUUUUUCUCUCUUAUACAGACUUCAAAUCGUGGCAUACAACAAAACUCAUUCUCUUAUCUUCUUCGUGAAACGGAAAAGCUGUCUCUUCCACCGAUCUUCCAACGCCGCCACCGUUCAUCAUCUCGACAUUUCACCUCAUUCAUUCUAUUCUCUCUUGUCUCUGUCCCUUUGUAUCGCAACUCCAUCUUCUUCUCUUCAUCACACCGCCGCGGUUCAUGAUUCGUGCAAAAGGAAUAUGAUGAUGCACGAAACUCUCGACUUCACCGGACUAUAUGUUAUGAUAUGA